GGGCGUUAAGUUGCAGGGUAUAGACCCGAAACCCGGUGAUCUAGCCAUGGGCAGGUUGAAGGUUGGGUAACACUAACUGGAGGACCGAACCGACUAAUGUUGAAAAAUUAGCGGAUGACCUGUGGCUGGGGGUGAAAGGCCAAUCAAACCGGGAGAUAGCUGGUUCUCCCCGAAAGCUAUUUAGGUAGCGCCUCGUGAAUUCAUCUCCGGGGGUAGAGCACUGUUUCGGCUAGGGGGCCAUCCCGGCUUACCAACCCGAUGCAAACUGCGAAUACCGGAGAAUGUUAUCACGGGAGACACACGGCGGGUGCUAACGUCCGUCGUGAAGAGGGAAACAACCCAGACCGCCAGCUAAGGUCCCAAAGUCAUGGUUAAGUGGGAAACGAUGUGGGAAGGCCCAGACAGCCAGGAUGUUGGCUUAGAAGCAGCCAUCAUUUAAAGAAAGCGUAAUAGCUCACUGGUCGAGUCGGCCUGCGCGGAAGAUGUAACGGGGCUAAACCAUGCACCGAAGCUGCGGCAGCGAACGUAUCACUUAAAGCGAUUCAGCGGGUUACGAUUGACGGAGCGAAGCGACGUCAAAGCGUAUACAAAGUCGAGUCGGUUUAAGGAUACGUUCGUUGGGUAGGGGAGCGUUCUGUAAGCCUGUGAAGGUGGCCUGUGAGGGUUGCUGGAGGUAUCAGAAGUGCGAAUGCUGACAUAAGUAACGAUAAAGCGGGUGAAAAGCCCGCUCGCCGGAAGACCAAGGGUUCCUGUCCAACGUUAAUCGGGGCAGGGUGAGUCGACCCCUAAGGCGAGGCCGAAAGGCGUAGUCGAUGGGAAAC
This 821-nucleotide ribosomal RNA is filed under the name Salmonella enterica subsp. enterica serovar Thompson. Its description in RNAcentral is "bacterial LSU rRNA". It matches the Rfam family "Bacterial large subunit ribosomal RNA", at positions 690 to 1426 of the family's 2925-position model. The record is from RNAcentral. Lineage: Bacteria; Pseudomonadati; Pseudomonadota; Gammaproteobacteria; Enterobacterales; Enterobacteriaceae.